UGGGGAAUAUUGGACAAUGGGCGAAAGCCUGAUCCAGCCAUGCCGCGUGUGUGAAGAAGGUCUUCGGAUUGUAAAGCACUUUAAGUUGGGAGGAAGGGCAUUAACCUAAUACGUUAGUGUUUUGACGUUACCGACAGAAUAAGCACCGGCUAACUCUGUGCCAGCAGCCGCGGUAAUACAGAGGGUGCAAGCGUUAAUCGGAAUUAAUGGGCGUAAAGCGCGCGUAGGUGGUUUGUUAAGUUGGAUGUGAAAUCCCCGGGCUCAACCUGGGAACUGCAUUCAAAACUGACUGACUAGAGUAUGGUAGAGGGUGGUGGAAUUUCCUGUGUAGCGGUGAAAUGCGUAGAUAUAGGAAGGAACACCAGUGGCGAAGGCGACCACCUGGACUAAUACUGACACUGAGGUGCGAAAGCGUGGGGAGCAAACA
This 427-nucleotide ribosomal RNA is filed under the name uncultured bacterium. Its description in RNAcentral is "partial 16S ribosomal RNA". It matches the Rfam family "Bacterial small subunit ribosomal RNA", at positions 355 to 774 of the family's 1533-position model. The record is from RNAcentral.